AUUGAACGCUGGCGGAAUGCUUUACACAUGCAAGUCGAACGGUAGAGGGGGCAACCCCUUGAGAGUGGCGAACGGGUGAGUAAUAUAUCGGAACGUGCCCAGUCGUGGGGAUAACGUAGCGAAAGUUACGCUAAUACCGCAUACGAUCUAAGGAUGAAAGCGGGGGAUCGCAAGACCUCGCGCGAUUGGAGCGGCCGAUAUCAGAUUAGGUAGUUGGUGAGGUAAAGGCUCACCAAGCCGACGAUCUGUAGCUGGUCUGAGAGGACGACCAGCCACACUGGGACUGAGACACGGCCCAGACUCCUACGGGAGGCAGCAGUGGGGAAUUUUGGACAAUGGGCGCAAGCCUGAUCCAGCAAUGCCGCGUGCAGGAUGAAGGCCUCGG
RNAcentral lists this ribosomal RNA (385 nucleotides) under uncultured bacterium. RNAcentral describes it as "bacterial SSU rRNA". It matches the Rfam family "Bacterial small subunit ribosomal RNA", at positions 30 to 420 of the family's 1533-position model. The record is from RNAcentral.